CGGCAAGAUUGGAGUGGCCUUCUGCUACUUGCUUCUGGGGCUUUCUGGAGCUGUUUGUGGACCUCAGGUCUGACACUAGGCUUGUCAAGUCAGUGGGGGGCACAGUAGACUCUGCCAGGUCUGAAUGGGAGCCAGAUUUACUUAGAAGUUGUCUGAAAUACACAUUCGUCUGGAGAAAGAAAAUCUGGCUGAGGUUGCCAACGCCUAUUGCCUGCCACUCCCUGAAGACUCCAACAAUACCGUUCUAUUGCCUCCGUCUGGCACAUUCCCC
RNAcentral lists this long non-coding RNA (271 nucleotides) under Gorilla gorilla gorilla (western lowland gorilla). RNAcentral's name for it is "lncRNA (ENSGGOG00000044288.1)". Lineage: Eukaryota; Metazoa; Chordata; Mammalia; Primates; Hominidae. The record is from RNAcentral.